RNAcentral lists this ribosomal RNA (253 nucleotides) under uncultured bacterium. RNAcentral's name for it is "partial 16S ribosomal RNA". It matches the Rfam family "Bacterial small subunit ribosomal RNA", at positions 524 to 776 of the family's 1533-position model. The record is from RNAcentral.
UACGGAGGGUGCAAGCGUUAUCCGGAUUCACUGGGUUUAAAGGGUGCGUAGGUGGCUUUGUAAGUCAGUGGUGAAAGCCCGGAGCUCAACUCCGGAACUGCCAUUGAUACUGCUUAGCUUGAAUCACGUCGAGGUGGAUGGAAUAAUACAUGUAGCGGUGAAAUGCUUAGAUAUGUAUUAGAACACCGAUUGCGAAGGCAGUUCACUAGGCGUGUAUUAACACUGAGGCACGAAGGCGUGGGGAUCAAACAGG